UUAUUUCGGGACUGACGGUGCCCCGGUUACCAUCCUGCUGAGUGGACAAGUCUGCCGUUCCAGGAAAGCUCAACAGCAAGGGAAGGCCAAUUGCUCAACAUGUGCUACCUUAGAGGGAGGUUGGCUGGGGACAGCUCCUGCCUUUUUCACCAGCUGGUGGUUUUGGGCAGCCCAGAUUCUCAGGAGGGAAACAGCAGAGACCAUACAGGGACACUCUGAAGGAACACCUGGGGCAGGUGCACUGUUCACAGGCGUGGAGGGAAGGUGACUCCCAAGGUGAUCCUGGCCCACAGCAGCUGCCAGUGCUCCAUCAGGAUUUCUGCACUGCAGGCAGAUGGAUGUGGCUUCAGCAAAAUAAAAAAAAAGCCAGUAGAAA
This is a long non-coding RNA of Lonchura striata (white-rumped munia), 376 nucleotides long. RefSeq lists it as uncharacterized. The record is from RefSeq and is a predicted model, not a curated record. Lineage: Eukaryota; Metazoa; Chordata; Aves; Passeriformes; Estrildidae.